This is a long non-coding RNA of Dreissena polymorpha, 1827 nucleotides long. RefSeq lists it as uncharacterized. The transcript has 4 exons. The record is from RefSeq and is a predicted model, not a curated record. Lineage: Eukaryota; Metazoa; Mollusca; Bivalvia; Myida; Dreissenidae.
GACUGUCCAAUGGAUUAUUUUCCUGAAUUUAGAAGGCUAUUAUUUUGAUAUUAAUUAAUAACAUUCGUUAAUUUGAACCAUAUCCAACUCAACCUUUUGCUAAAAACUACAAAACUAAAGAGCAACAGCCAAAUUGUAUUACGACUUUUGCGUCUACCUUGGGAAAUCCCUUUCUAUUUGUAUUUCGCGCUUCGUGUCACGUGAUUCAGACACAAACAAACAAAAUGGCGGAGGCUUCGAAAUCUACAAUGAGCGAACCAGCCAAAACAGAGGGAGAGAUGAGAAGAAGUAAAUGCGUGAGACAGCCAUCUAAGAGAAUGUUGUUGUAUUCUCAGGACACAGAUUCAGAUUCAAGUCUACAGAAGUGUUAAGGAAAACGUCCUGCCAGAAAGAUCCAGAAAGUGGAUACAUUAGCAACAAUAACUAAGUGGUGCUCUUGUCACAGAUGCCCACAAUACGAUAGAGUGGAAGAUCGAAUUUGCUGUGGGAUGGUCCCAGAAUUAUGCUCAAGUCACAGAACUGAGAUGACUCUAUCGGUGCUGGAUAGGAUGACCCUCUACAGUCAGCAGCAGUAUCAACAAGAUGUGUUUUCCUUUUAUGCAGAGACACUAGAAGAUGUCAAUAAAUCUUUCAGACAUGCUGCAUACAGACAAUUUACCAUCUUAAUGCAUGAGAAUAACUGUCCCAGCAUGUUGUGUUAAAUUAAUAAGGGAGAAGUUUCCUAGUCAUUAAGGCCAGUAUACAGGCUUCGUACCAGGUGAAGGCCCAGUGUUCUAAUAAUUUUGCAUAUUUAUGCCCCCCUUCGAAGAAGAGGGGGUAUAUAGUUUUGCACAUGUCGGUCCGUCCACCAGAUGGUUUCGAGAUGAUAACUUAAGAACGCUUAGGCCUAGGAUCAUGAAACUUCAUAGGUACAUUGAUCAUGACUGGCAAAUAACCCCUAUUGAUUUUCAGGUCACUAGGUCAAAGGUCAGUGACUCGAAACAGUAAAGCGGUUUCCGGAUGAUAACUCAAGAAUGCUUACGCCUAGGAUCUUGAAACUUCAUAGGUACAUUGAUCACGACUGGCAGAUGACCCCUUUAGUUUUUCCGGUCACAAGGUCAAAGGUCAAGGUCACAGUGACUCAAAACAAUAAAAUGGUUUCCAGCUGAUAACUCAAGAAUGCUUACGCCUUUUGAUCAUGAAACUUCAUAGCUAAAUUGAUAAUGACUGGCAGAUGACCCCUUUUGAUUUUCAGGUCACUAGGUCAAGGUCAUAGUGACUCGAAAUAGUAAAAUGGUUUCCUGAUGAUAACUCAAGAAUAAUUAGGCCUAGGAUCAGGAAACUUCAUAGGUACAUUGAUCAUGACUGACAGAUGACCCCUAUUAAUUUUCAGGUCACUAUGUCAAAGGUCAAGGUCACAGUGACAAAAAACGUAUUCACACAAUGGCUGCCACUACAACUGACAGCCCACAUGGGGGACAUGCAUGUUUUACAAACAGCCCUUGUUGCUAUUCUUUUUCAUUUAUCAGACAUAGAACUUUUCUUAGUUUUGAUUAUUUUUUGUUCUGGCUCCUUUUUUGAAACAUUUAUAUUUAUGCAAAUCAUUUGAGUUAUGCUUAAUCAUUUGGAUUUUUCAGUUCUAUGCAUUUUGUUUUGAAAAAUCAAUUUGUGUGAAAUGUGCUUGUUUAUUAUUAAAACUUGCACAGCAGUUUUGACAUUUGUAUGCUUACUUUGGUGUCAUUUGAAUGAAAUGCCACGAGUACUCUGGAUUGUAAGAUGAAAGAAAUAAAAGAAGCAAUGACAUAUUUCUUAAGAAUACUAUGUAAAUAAACUAAUUGAAAAUCAAAA